This 497-nucleotide ribosomal RNA is filed under the name uncultured bacterium. Its description in RNAcentral is "partial 16S ribosomal RNA". It matches the Rfam family "Bacterial small subunit ribosomal RNA", at positions 28 to 507 of the family's 1533-position model. The record is from RNAcentral.
GAUGAACGCUGGCGGCGUGCCUAAUACAUGCAAGUCGAGCGAACAGACGAGGAGCUUGCUCCUCUGACGUUAGCGGCGGACGGGUGAGUAACACGUGGAUAACCUACCUAUAAGACUGGGAUAACUUCGGGAAACCGGAGCUAAUACCGGAUAAUAUAUUGAACCGCAUGGUUCAAUAGUGAAAGACGGUUUUGCUGUCACUUAUAGAUGGAUCCGCGCCGCAUUAGCUAGUUGGUAAGGUAACGGCUUACCAAGGCAACGAUGCGUAGCCGACCUGAGGGGGUGAUCGGCCACACUGGAACUCAGACACGGUCCAGACUCCUACGGGAGGCAGCAGUAGGGACUCUUCCGCAAUGGGCGAACGCCUGACGGAGCAACGCCGCGUGAGUGAUGAAGGUCUUCGGAUCGUAAAACUCUGUUAUUAGGGAAGAACAAAUGUGUAAGUAACUAUGCACGUCUUGACGGUACCUAAUCAGAAAGCCACGGCUAACUACGUG